UACGUAGGUGGCAAGCGUUAUCCGGAAUUAUUGGGCGUAAAGCGCGCGCAGGCGGUUUCUUAAGUCUGAUGUGAAAGCCCACGGCUCAACCGUGGAGGGUCAUUGGAAACUGGGGAACUUGAGUGCAGAAGAGGAAAGUGGAAUUCCACGUGUAGCGGUGAAAUGCGUAGAGAUGUGGAGGAACACCAGUGGCGAAGGCGACUUUCUGGUCUGUAACUGACGCUGAGGCGCGAAAGCGUGGGGAGCAAACAGG
This 253-nucleotide ribosomal RNA is filed under the name uncultured bacterium. RNAcentral describes it as "partial 16S ribosomal RNA". It matches the Rfam family "Bacterial small subunit ribosomal RNA", at positions 524 to 776 of the family's 1533-position model. The record is from RNAcentral.